UACGGAGGGAGCUAGCGUUGUUCGGAAUUACUGGGCGUAAAGCGCACGUAGGCGGCUUUUUAAGUCAGGGGUGAAAUCCCGGGGCUCAACCUCGGAACUGCCCUUGAAACUGGGAAGCUAGAAUCUUGGAGAGGCGAGUGGAAUUCCGAGUGUAGAGGUGAAAUUCGUAGAUAUUCGGAAGAACACCAGUGGCGAAGGCGACUCGCUGGACAAGUAUUGACGCUGACGUGAGAACGCGUGGGGAGCAAACAGG
RNAcentral lists this ribosomal RNA (253 nucleotides) under uncultured bacterium. RNAcentral's name for it is "partial 16S ribosomal RNA". It matches the Rfam family "Bacterial small subunit ribosomal RNA", at positions 524 to 776 of the family's 1533-position model. The record is from RNAcentral.